This 497-nucleotide ribosomal RNA is filed under the name uncultured bacterium. RNAcentral describes it as "partial 16S ribosomal RNA". It matches the Rfam family "Bacterial small subunit ribosomal RNA", at positions 28 to 507 of the family's 1533-position model. The record is from RNAcentral.
GAUGAACGCUGGCGGCGUGCCUAAUACAUGCAAGUCGAGCGAACAGAUAAGGAGCUUGCUCGUUGGACGUGAGGGGCGGACGGGGGAGUAACACGUGGUUAACCUACCGAUAAGACUGGAAUAACUCCGGGAAACCGGGGCUAAUACCGGAUAACAUUUAGAACCUCAUGGUUCUAGAGUGAAGGAUGGUUUUGCUAUCACUUAUAGAUGGACCCGCGCCGUAUUAGCUAGUUGGUAAGAUAACGGCUUACCAAGGCAACGAUGCGUAGCCGACCUGAGAGGGUGAUCGGCGACCAUGGAACUGCGACACGGUCGCGAAUACUCCGGGAGGCAGCAGUAGGGAAUAUUACGCCAUGGGGGAAAGACUGCCGGUGCAGCGCCGCGUGAGUGAUGAAGGUCUCCGGCUCGUAGAAAUCUGUUAUUAGGGAAGAACAAAUGUGUAAGUAACUGUGCACGUCUUGACGGUACCUAGUCAGAAAGCGCCGGCUAACUACGUG